This 468-nucleotide ribosomal RNA is filed under the name uncultured bacterium. RNAcentral describes it as "partial 16S ribosomal RNA". It matches the Rfam family "Bacterial small subunit ribosomal RNA", at positions 28 to 507 of the family's 1533-position model. The record is from RNAcentral.
GACGAACGCUGGCGGCGUGCUUAACACAUGCAAGUCGAACGGAAAGGCCCUGCUUUUGUGGGGUGCUCGAGUGGCGAACGGGUGAGUAACACGUGAGUAACCUGCCCUUGACUUUGGGAUAACUUCAGGAAACUGGGGCUAAUACCGGAUAGGAGCUCCUGCUGCAUGGUGGGGGUUGGAAAGUUUCGGCGGUUGGGGAUGGACUCGCGGCUUAUCAGCUUGUUGGUGGGGUAGUGGCUUACCCAGGCUUUGAUGGGUAGCCGGCCUGAGAGGGUGAACGGCCACAUUGGGACUGAGAGACGGACCAGACUGCUACGGGAGGCAGCAGUGGGGAAUAUUGCACAAUGGGCGGAAGCGUGAUGCAGCAACGCCGCGUGCGGGAUGACGGCCUUCGGGUUGUAAACCGCUUUCGGCUGUGACGAAGCGUGAGUGACGGUAAUGGGUAAAGAAGCACCGGCUAACUACGUG